UUCCUGCUCUUUUCACUUUUUUGGGGCCUUUUCAUCCCAAUUUUUGGUCAUUUUUUGCCUUUUUUUUUUUUUUUGACAUUUUUGUCCCUUUUUUGGACUUUUCUGGCCUUUUUUGGUCAUUUUUCUCACUUUUUGGGGGGGAAAUAUUUCUCAAUUUUUUGGAUCAUUUCUCUCACUUUUUCUGGGACGUUUUUCUCACUUUUUUUUUCUUAACUUUGUCACUUCUUUCCCAACAUUUUUCUCACUUUUUUGGGCCACUUUUCUCACUUUUUUGGGCCACUUUCCUCACUUUUUUGGGCCACUUUCCUCACUUUUCUUGGACCUUUCCGUCCCUUUUUUGGGGGUCAUUUUCCUCACUUUUUCGGCUCAUUUUUCUCACUUUUUUUCUCACUUUUUUCCUUCUUUUGCGCGCUUUUCUCACUUUUUUUCUUAUACCGCUUUUCUCACUUUUCACCACUUUUUUCACUUUUUUUUCCCCCUUUUCCCUACCUUUCCAAAAAAACCCACUUUUUUCCUUAUUUUUUUUGGCCUUUUUGCCCUUAUUUCUCCCUUUCCCACGCCGCCUCUCAGCAAUGUCAGCCUUACCAUCCCAUUUUGGGGCAGAACCGUGUGCUUUGCUCACUGGGACAAAACCCAUCGCCCCGGCUCUCAAUACUUGCUGUUUUUUUGGGGGCAAAACUGGGGCUUUUCGGGCUUUUCGGCCACUUUCGGCGCCAGCUCCUCACCUGAAGGGACCACAGGGUUCGAUUUGGGGCGAAAAAGGGGGGAAAAAGGUCAAGGUUUCGUUACCGCAUCGUCUGGGCUCGUCCCCAAUCACCUCCCCCCCCCCCCCUUCCAAAGCGGGAUCAUCGCCUGCAGCUCGUUAAGGAAAAAAAGCAAUUAACCGUCAUCAAGCCUGAAGAAGGUGAUUCGGGAGGAAAAAUAAUAAUAAUAAUAAUAAAAAAAAAAAAGUGGAAAAAUGCUGUGGGUUU
Molecule: long non-coding RNA, 971 nt
Filed under: Numida meleagris (helmeted guineafowl)
Lineage: Eukaryota; Metazoa; Chordata; Aves; Galliformes; Numididae
Description: lncRNA (ENSNMEG00000014069.1)
Source: RNAcentral